CCUACGGGUGGCAGCAGUGGGGAAUAUUGGGCAAUGGGCGCAAGUCUGACCCAGCAACGCCGCGUGAAGGAAGAAGGCUUUCGGGUUGUAAACUUCUUUUCUCAGGGACGAAGCAAGUGACGGUACCUGAGGAAUAAGCCACGGCUAACUACGUGCCAGCAGCCGCGGAAAUACGUAGGUGGCAAGCGUUAUCCGGAUUUAUUGGGUUUAAAGGGUGCGCAGGCGGAGGUGCAAGUCAGUGGUCAAAUUGCGGGGCUCAACCCCGUACUGCCGUUGAAACUGCAUCCCUUGAGUGCGCGAGAAGUAUGCGGAAUGCGGGGUGUAGCGGUGAAAUGCAUAGAUAUCACGCAGAACUCCGAUUGCGAAGGCAGCAUACCGGCGCGCAACUGACGCUCAUGCACGAAAGCGUGGGUAUCGAACAGGAUUAGAUACCCUUGUAGUC
RNAcentral lists this ribosomal RNA (442 nucleotides) under uncultured bacterium. RNAcentral describes it as "partial 16S ribosomal RNA". It matches the Rfam family "Bacterial small subunit ribosomal RNA", at positions 338 to 795 of the family's 1533-position model. The record is from RNAcentral.